ACAUCCAGAGAACUUAGCAGAGAUGCUUUGGUGGCCUUCGGGAACUCUGAGACAGGUGCUGCAUGGCUGUCGUCAGCUCGUGUUGUGAAAUGUUGGGUUAAGUCCCGNAACGAGCGCAACCCUUAUCCUUUGUUGCCAGCGGUUCGGCCGGGAACUCAAAGGAGACUGCCGGUGAUAAACCGGAGGAAGGUGGGGAUGACGUCAAGUCAUCAUGGCCCUUACGGCCAGGGCUACACACGUGCUACAAUGGCGCAUACAAAGAGAAGCGACCUCGCGAGAGCAAGCGGACCUCAUAAAGUGCGUCGUAGUCCGGAUUGGAGUCUGCAACUCGACUCCAUGAAGUCGGAAUCGCUAGUAAUCGUAGAUCAGAAUGCUACGGUGAAUACGUUCCCGGGCCUUGUACACACCGCCCGUCACACCAUGGGAGUGGGUUGCAAAAGAAGUAGGUAGCUUAACCUUCGGGAGGGCGCUUACCACUUUGUGAUUCAUGACUGGGGUGAAGUCGUAACAAGGUAAGCGUAGCGAG
RNAcentral lists this ribosomal RNA (526 nucleotides) under uncultured bacterium. RNAcentral's name for it is "bacterial SSU rRNA". It matches the Rfam family "Bacterial small subunit ribosomal RNA", at positions 984 to 1509 of the family's 1533-position model. The record is from RNAcentral.